This 398-nucleotide long non-coding RNA is filed under the name Musa acuminata (dwarf banana). RNAcentral's name for it is "long non-coding RNA (MACU_LNC007315)". The record is from RNAcentral. Lineage: Eukaryota; Viridiplantae; Streptophyta; Magnoliopsida; Zingiberales; Musaceae.
CCAUUUUCGCUGUUGGAGUCGUGGUUGUUUGAUGAGACGGUUGCGCAAGGGUCAGAGAACCAUGGCAACGGACGAUGCUGGUGGUGAUCUGUUGUAGGUGCUCAUGCAGCCCAAAAACUGUAUAUGAGGUAGCUCGAUUGUAAAGUAUAUUGUCUCCAAUGGUAUGGGAGAAGAAGGUAUUGUAAUCUAUGGCAGAAGAGUGUUACCUGUGAUCAAUCAUCUUAAAUGGAGAGAUCAUCUUGGUUCUUGAGGCUGUGCAUUGGAAGAAUGAGGGAGUAAUGAAUCCAAAAUAGUUUAGUUUCUCCAUGAUCUGCAAUCACCAGUUUACCCAGAGACAAAAGUCAAAACGAAGCCAUUGUCGUACGUAUUGAUCCAUGAAGUCAUCAGCUCAGAAGAUG